This 516-nucleotide long non-coding RNA is filed under the name Trifolium pratense (red clover). RNAcentral's name for it is "long non-coding RNA (TPRA_LNC004809)". Lineage: Eukaryota; Viridiplantae; Streptophyta; Magnoliopsida; Fabales; Fabaceae. The record is from RNAcentral.
CAAAAUGCACUAAAAUAAGUGCUCAUAAUACAUGACAUAGGAUUUAAACACCAAAAAGGAAAAGAAAUACAAGUCUUACGCCCAUACCGACUAGUGAACCACAACCAAGAAUGAAAUUUAAUUGUCUCCAAUAAUGACGAAACAUCCGGAAUAUUGCCCUUAAAAAUUACUUUAUUGCGAAGAUUCCAAAUAUUCCAAGUGGUUGCCAACCAUACCAAGUACUGAACACGACCUUUGUCUUUCAUUUUGAACAAAUCACCAAAUAAAAGAAAAUGAUCUCUACCUUCGACUCCAGCUUGUAACGAUGUCCCUAACCAAGAUAAAACUUUGUUCCAUAUACUCCCUUACUAAAAGAACAUGAAAAGAAAAAAUGAUUUUCGUCCUCAGCUUGUUGAAAACAAAAGACGCAUGAUAAUUCAUGAUGAUUAGUCGGUUCAAAUUCAAAUUCACAACUUUUCACUUUUAAAUACAAACUCUAUUUGAAAUUUUUAGGUGUACACCACUACUGUUUCUCAA